GUCUAUGGCCAUGCCACCCCAAACGAGCCCGAUCCCUUCUGAUCACGGAAGCUAAGCAGGGUUGGGCCUGGUUAGUACUUGGAUGAGAGAUCGCCUAGGAAGACCAGCUGCUGUAAGCG
This 119-nucleotide ribosomal RNA is filed under the name Pteropus vampyrus (large flying fox). Lineage: Eukaryota; Metazoa; Chordata; Mammalia; Chiroptera; Pteropodidae. The record is from RNAcentral.